UACGGAGGGUGCAAGCGUUGCUCGGAAUUAUUGGGCGUAAAGGGUAGGUAGGUGGUCUCAUUUGUCUGAGGUGAAAUCCUUGGGCUUAACUCAAGAAGUGCCUCAGAAACGGUGAGACUAGAGUUCUGGAGGGGGUCGUGGAAUUCCCGGUGUAGCGGUGAAAUGCGUAGAGAUCGGGAGGAACACCAGAGGCGAAGGCGGCGACCUGGACAGACACUGACACUCAACUACGAAAGCGUGGGGAGCAAACAGG
Molecule: ribosomal RNA, 253 nt
Filed under: uncultured bacterium
Lineage: Bacteria
Description: partial 16S ribosomal RNA
Rfam family: Bacterial small subunit ribosomal RNA
Source: RNAcentral